Molecule: transfer RNA, 72 nt
Organism: Ipomoea nil (Japanese morning glory)
Lineage: Eukaryota; Viridiplantae; Streptophyta; Magnoliopsida; Solanales; Convolvulaceae
Rfam family: tRNA
About the family: Transfer RNA (tRNA) molecules are approximately 80 nucleotides in length. Their secondary structure includes four short double-helical elements and three loops (D, anti-codon, and T loops).
Source: Rfam
GGGUGUUUGGUUUAGUGGUAUGAUUCUUGCUUUGGGUGCAAGAGGUCAUGAGUUUGAUUCUCAUAACACUUU